AUUGAACGCUGGCAGCAUGCCUUACACAUGCAAGUCGAACGGUAACAGGUCUUCGGAUGCUGACGAGUGGCGAACGGGUGAGUAAUGCAUCGGAACGUGCCUAGUAGUGGGGGAUAACUACUCGAAAGAGUGGCUAAUACUGCAUGAGAUCUACGGAUGAAAGCAGGGGAUCGCAAGACCUUGUGCUACUAGAGCGGCCGAUGGCAGAUUAGGUAGUUGGUGGGAUAAAAGCUUACCAAGCCGACGAUCUGUAGCUGGUCUGAGAGGACGAUCAGCCACACUGGGACUGAGACACGGCCCAGACUCCUACGGGAGUCAGCAGUGGGGAAUUUUGGACAAUGGGCGAAAGCCUGAUCCAGCAAUGCCGCGUGCAGGAUGAAGGCCUUCGGGUUGUAAACUGCUUUUGUACGGAACGAAAAGCCCCGGGUUAAUACCCUGGGGUCAUGACGGUACCGUAAGAAUAAGCACCGGCUAACUACGUGCCAGCCGCCGCCGUAA
RNAcentral lists this ribosomal RNA (498 nucleotides) under uncultured bacterium. Its description in RNAcentral is "partial 16S ribosomal RNA". It matches the Rfam family "Bacterial small subunit ribosomal RNA", at positions 30 to 523 of the family's 1533-position model. The record is from RNAcentral.